CACAACAGAAAUUUGUGUCCAAAUUUACAAUUCACAUAGAUUUUUAAUAGCGAACCCUCUGUACGCUUUAUAAGAGAAACAAUUUUAGAUGUACAGUGCAAGUUUUUCUGGCAUGGGAUUUUGUAGCAUAACAAAUCUAGACAAGAUUCAAAUACUACAAAUUUUCGGUCAGUUAAACACUGAAAUUCAAUAUUUGAUUCCUUAGUGGUCAAAUCUAAAUCAGUGGAUGUAUCCAUAGUGCAAAAAC
Pelobates cultripes (western spadefoot toad) is the source of this 247-nucleotide non-coding RNA. The record is from the annotation of a GenBank genome assembly. Lineage: Eukaryota; Metazoa; Chordata; Amphibia; Anura; Pelobatidae.